UAGAGUUUGAUCAUGGCUCAGAACGAACGCUGGCGGCAGGCCUAACACAUGCAAGUCGAGCGCGCCUUCGGGUGAGCGGCGGACGGGUUAGUAACGCGUGGGAACGUGCCCUUCUCUACGGAAUAGCCUCUGGAAACGGAGAGUAAUACCGUAUACGCCCUUUGGGGGAAAGAUUUAUCGGAGAAGGAUCGGCCCGCGUUAGAUUAGGUAGUUGGUGGGGUAAUGGCCUACCAAGCCUACGAUCUAUAGCUGGUUUUAGAGGAUGAUCAGCAACACUGGGACUGAGACACGGCCCAGACUCCUACGGGAGGCAGCAGUGGGGAAUCUUAGACAAUGGGGGCAACCCUGAUCUAGCCAUGCCGCGUGAGUGAUGAAGGCCUUAGGGUCGUAAAGCUCUUUCGCCUGUGAUGAUAAUGACAGUAGCAGGUAAAGAAACCCCGGCUAACUCCGUGCCAGCAGCCGCGGUAAUACGGAGGGGGUUAGCGUUGUUCGGAAUUACUGGGCGUAAAGCGCGCGUAGGCGGAUUAGAAAGUUGGGGGUGAAAUCCCGGGGCUCAACCCCGGAACUGCCUCCAAAACUGCUAGUCUAGAGUUCGAGAGAGGUGAGUGGAAUUCCGAGUGUAGAGGUGAAAUUCGUAGAU
This 640-nucleotide ribosomal RNA is filed under the name uncultured bacterium. RNAcentral describes it as "bacterial SSU rRNA". It matches the Rfam family "Bacterial small subunit ribosomal RNA", at positions 1 to 695 of the family's 1533-position model. The record is from RNAcentral.